RNAcentral lists this long non-coding RNA (425 nucleotides) under Heterocephalus glaber (naked mole-rat). RNAcentral's name for it is "lncRNA (ENSHGLG00000047922.1)". The record is from RNAcentral. Lineage: Eukaryota; Metazoa; Chordata; Mammalia; Rodentia; Bathyergidae.
UAAACAGUUGACCAACAAAAUACAAGGCUCAGACCAUGGUCAACUGGAUCUGCACAGAAACAUCAGGAUGGAAGUGCAUGGUGGAGCAAAGCUACUCACUGCAUGGUGGCUAGGAGCAGAAGAGAGGGGGAAGAAUACAAAUACAAAUGAGAGACAUGCCCUUCAAUCCUGUUCCCCUCUGGAUCCUUCCAGAAGAACCACUUCACUGUGACGAGUGUGGGUUGGAGCAGAGCUUAGAAGGAAGGGAGAUGCCAUCCUCACCAGGUAAACACUGGUCCUGCAUCUGCAGACACCACAGGAACUUCUGGCCAGAACACUACUUCCAAAGCCCAGGGCAAAUCCAAACACUGCUCCCACUGUGGGCAUCUGCGCCAAGACCUGCAGUGUCCUCUACCUACACGCUUGCCUCCUAGGCUUUGUGAAAA